Molecule: long non-coding RNA, 3008 nt
Organism: Hemicordylus capensis (graceful crag lizard)
Lineage: Eukaryota; Metazoa; Chordata; Lepidosauria; Squamata; Cordylidae
Exons: 5
Source: RefSeq, a predicted model, not a curated record
GAGAAGGUCAGGCUAGGUAGGGCUUGCCGAGCAUAUAACUCUCGUGGAGGGGUUUGGAGGAGUUGAGGAAAGGGGCUUGAGGAACAGAAAGAGGGAGAGAGAUCCAGGUGUAGGCAGCAGCGACCGUUUUCUCUUCUACCCCGUUUGGGCCUUUGGAUUUCCCAGACAGCUGUUGGCUGUUUUGAAAAUGCAAAAGAAUCUCCAUCCAUUGUGUGUCGUAGAACAGACUAUUCAUGAGCAGUAGCUGGAGGAGCAACUGUGCUUUGCUGCCUGCACAGCCAGGCUUCUUGGGAAGGGGCAGAUAUUUGCCAUGUGAUACCUCCGGUAUAAAUCUCCCAUUUACAAAGCAACCUUUGAAGCAAAGAGCCCUGCUUGUUGGUAGCUCCUGAAUGAGAACCAUUGAACACUGUCCAGCUUUCUUGGCAUGUGGGGAGGAUGCCAACCCUCAUAUUUGACAGGGAAGGAGGUUUGUAGUAUAGUUCCCCCCCCCCCCCUUUCUCUUUUUUCUCAGAAUAUCAGUAGGGAGACUAAAAGGGACAGAAAGCUCACUCAGUUUUGCAGAGGUCUUAGAAAAACCCAGAGCUGAAAGAAAGGGGCUGGAGGGAACAAGUAAGGGUGUGGAAGUGGUAAAAGGUAUCAUGGAAGAAUGGAAAAAGAGGAAGAAAAUGGGGGUGAAACUGGGAAAGGGGAAAGAAGAAGAAGACAUCCAGAAAGAAAGAGAUGUUGGGGUCAAGCAAAGAUCUUUGGAGGUCAGUGUGUAUCUCAUUACGCUCUGAAUUUGCAGCGAGAAAACAGAUCCUGUGGAGAUCCCUGUGAAACCUUGAAGACAAAGCUAGAUCUGUGUGGCUUCAGCUUUUGUGGGAAAGAGCCCAGAGCUUCAUAUGUGGCAGUGCUCAGGCCUGAUAUUUCUGUUCAGUACCGUGUGAACUAAUGCUAGAAAGAAGCACCUCUGAGCCUGCACAGAAGUGAGAAGGUAAUGCCUUUUCAUUACCACUGAGCAACUACUGCCUCUCAUCACAUACUUUGGAUCAAUGAGUGGGGCUUCAAGACACGUAGUAUGGCUCCAAUUCCAACAUUUUUAUUUUAUUUUAGUAGAAAUUAAGCACGGCAAGAGUGCAUUUCAGUUAAUGAAAGUGGCUGUGUGAAGCUGGGGUGUCUCUUCCAUGGAACUGGUGAGUUACCAUAUUUUGAAACACACAUGCACACUCAUCCUGCUUUGGUUUUUGGAACAAGUGCACCUUUCUUGCAAAUGAAUGGUUUUGGGAUCACAGAGGAGAAGAGGUGUGUGAGAGGCAAAUAGAAAAAUAAGGCAAAAUGAACAAUGUUUUUUUUCAGAAGAAUUUCUAGUCACUUUUCAAAAUAGCAUGUUCCCAGGAUGCUUUUUUUCAUCAGAAGCCUUGUGCCUCAUGAAGGACCAUCUUCCUCAGGAUUUUUGCAAAUAAAGCACAAGAAGAUACUCACAGGGGGUCCAGCACUUCCACGAGCACCUUUGGGUCCAGGAGCACCAACAGCACCCUGCAGUGGAUGAAAAGAAGAUAGCAUUAAGCGAAAGGAUUAUAGGAGACAGAGGCUUCACAUUAAAGAUUGUGAAGCAAUGAGGGAUCACUUACAGCAGGUCCGGGAGGUCCAGUGGCUCCAGCAGGGCCGGGAGCGCCAGCAUCACCUUUAGCACCAGCAUCACCAGGUUCACCUUUAGCACCAGGUUGGCCAUCAGUACCCUGUGGAUAAAAGAAAUCAGCAGCAUGAGACUAUAACUCACCUUGGGACCAGCCAUGCCAUCAGAGCCAGGGAAACCACGGCUUCCAGGAGCACCCUGUGAAUGGGAUAAAGAAUACUAGGUCUUUGAAGAUGGACACAACGUAAAUGAAGAGCCACAAGGUAAAGAACAAUGAGAUGUCACUUACGCUGUUACCCUUGGGACCAGGAGCGCCGCUGGGACCCUGCGGUCCAGCUGUGCCACGAGCACCAGGGAAACCAGGAGCGCCAGAAAUACCAGGAGCACCCUAGAAGAGAGAGCAGAGCUGAUAUUCUUGACCCCCAAAUGGAAGGCUGCUGUUCCUCAUUUAAAGAUGAACUUCUUCCUUACUUCACAUUGAUUCUUAUUGUUUCUGUGAGCUAACCAUAAGUGGAACAAAUUCAUCUGAAGGGUUUCCAGUGGCACAAGCUGUAAAAGGAUCUGUUGAGCGGGUCACCUUCAGACAAAUUAGAUGCUCUUGAUUCUCAUUCAAGCUAAAGCAGACUGGGAUAAAUGUUCAGCAGUAUCCAUCCUUAGAGCUUAAAGCGUUAAAAAGUGUGAUCACAGUCCCUUGUUCUACUACCCUUUGGAAAAGAGGAAUUUUUCUUGCGUUCUAUUAUGUAACCUGAACAAAUAAAUUUUUGUUGAUACCCAGUCUAUGUUUGUAGGAGGUGGAAAGAUGGUCAAGCCCAUCAAGGCAAUGAACUGAAAAGGGACAGAAGUGUAUACUUACUACUUGUCCAGGAGCACCAUUCUCACCAGGGCUGCCAGGCUCACCCUGAAAGAGAAGACAGAACAGAUGUUAAGCACCCAGUUGCACGAAGAGCAAGGAAAGGAAUUCUGUAUGAACGGAAGCAGGUGAACAGUUAAAAUGGACACUCACCUUGGGGCCAGCUGGACCAGCAUCACCUUUAGCACCAUCAAGACCACUGAAACCCUAGAAUGAAUGAUAUGGAAGAAUGGAGGAGAAGAAAAGGAAACAUUAGCAUCCAAGAAGCUGGUCUAGAAAAGGCGAACGUUCCAUGUUAGACUGCUCAGAAAAGAAAUCUGUGGGUUGCAUAUUAUAUUAUUUGGUUUAAAAGGUGAUGGGUUUCCUUUUUAAUAACUCUGCUGAAUCUAAAGAAGUCUGGAUCUGGUCAGUGCCUGGAUGGAAGACCAGCUGGGAACCCCAUGUAUACUAUCUUGAAUUUCACAGUGGAAGAAAGGCAAGUUAUCAAUGUAAUAAAUAAAUACACAUGAUAAUGCUUAAUUAAAAACACCCAUUUAGACACUU